Molecule: long non-coding RNA, 381 nt
Organism: Myxocyprinus asiaticus (Chinese sucker)
Lineage: Eukaryota; Metazoa; Chordata; Actinopteri; Cypriniformes; Catostomidae
Exons: 3
Source: RefSeq, a predicted model, not a curated record
UUUGAUGAUGAAGGAAGCACAUGUGUUUUAGGCUGAUAAGCCUCCAUUUGACAUCAGCCCUCCUGCUAUUUAUUGUUAUGGCCGGUGCUUGAAGAGGAAGAAAAAAGUACAGAACUCCCUAAUGAAGGAUUUUAUGAAAUCCCUAUGGAUAAAUAUGAAAUGCUUCUGGAACCAAGACGGCUGAAAAGAAGACUGCAGCCGUUGUAGAGCUAGAAAGGUACAUUGAGCUUCUUCAAAAAGAUUCCUGCUGCAACCCUGGGGCAAGGGCUUUUCAUCUUUUGCUCUUGACAAAAAUGUAAAAGUCAUUUUGAAAGUCAACUCCCAUGUGUCAUUCAUGACAAUAGAAGUGGUUUUUACACCUAAUAUGACCAGUGUGUUAUU